GCCGGCGUAACUCAAUUGGCAGAGUUUCCGUCUCCAAAACGGAAUGUUGCAGGUUCAAGUCCUGUCGCCGGUGCCU
Molecule: transfer RNA, 76 nt
Filed under: Candidatus Portnoybacteria bacterium CG06_land_8_20_14_3_00_39_12
Lineage: Bacteria; Candidatus Portnoyibacteriota
Description: tRNA-Trp
Rfam family: tRNA
About the family: Transfer RNA (tRNA) molecules are approximately 80 nucleotides in length. Their secondary structure includes four short double-helical elements and three loops (D, anti-codon, and T loops).
Source: RNAcentral